Molecule: ribosomal RNA, 495 nt
Filed under: uncultured bacterium
Lineage: Bacteria
Description: partial 16S ribosomal RNA
Rfam family: Bacterial small subunit ribosomal RNA
Source: RNAcentral
UGAACGCUGGCGGCGUGCCUAAUACAUGCAAGUCGAGCGAACGGACGAGAAGCUUGCUUCUCUGAUGUUAGCGGCGGACGGGUGAGUAACACGUGGAUAACCUACCUAUAAGACUGGGAUAACUUCGGGAAACCGGAGCUAAUACCGGAUAAUAUUUUGAACCGCAUGGUUCAAAAGUGAAAGACGGUCUUGCUGUCACUUAUAGAUGGAUCCGCGCUGCAUUAGCUAGUUGGUAAGGUAACGGCUUACCAAGGCAACGAUGCAUAGCCGACCUGAGAGGGUGAUCGGCCACACUGGAACUGAGACACGGUCCAGACUCCUACGGGAGGCAGCAGUAGGGAAUCUUCCGCAAUGGGCGAAAGCCUGACGGAGCAACGCCGCGUGAGUGAUGAAGGUCUUCGGAUCGUAAAACUCUGUUAUUAGGGAAGAACAUAUGUCUAAGUAACUGUGCACAUCUUGACGGUACCUAAUCAGAAAGCCACGGCUAACUACGUG